This 373-nucleotide ribosomal RNA is filed under the name uncultured Bacteroidota bacterium. RNAcentral's name for it is "bacterial SSU rRNA". It matches the Rfam family "Bacterial small subunit ribosomal RNA", at positions 521 to 896 of the family's 1533-position model. Lineage: Bacteria; Pseudomonadati; Bacteroidota. The record is from RNAcentral.
UAAUACGGAGGAUGCAAGCGUUAUCCGGAUUUAUUAGGUUUAAAGGGUGUGUAGGCGGGACUCUAAGUCAGUGGUGAAAUCUUUCGGCUUAACCGAAAAACUGCCAUUGAUACUGGAGUUCUUGAGUAUAGUUGAGGUAGGCGGAAUGUGUAAUGUAGCGGUGAAAUGCUUAGAUAUUACACAGAACACCGAUUGCGAAGGCAGCUUACUAAGCUAUUACUGACGCUGAUGCACGAAAGCGUGGGUAGCGAACAGGAUUAGAUACCCUGGUAGUCCACGCCGUAAACGAUGAUUACUCGUUGUUGGCGAUACAUUGUCAGCGACUGAGCGAAAGCAUUAAGUAAUCCACCUGGGGAGUACGUUCGCAAGAAUG